Molecule: long non-coding RNA, 786 nt
Organism: Triticum aestivum (bread wheat)
Lineage: Eukaryota; Viridiplantae; Streptophyta; Magnoliopsida; Poales; Poaceae
Exons: 2
Source: RefSeq, a predicted model, not a curated record
CGCGCGCGCGCGCGUGUGUGUGCUGAAGACUAUAAGGAGUACAUACCUCUUCUUUAUGAAGUUCUCGCAGGUCAGCAACAUGAGGCAAAAAGGGCAGGACCUCGUUAAGAAUGUCGUUCUAGUGGGCACAAGGUCGAACAUGAAGCUACCAGUGAGUAUUGUUUAAUCCUAUCCAUUAUUUUAUAAAGCACCAAGAUGUAGUAUAACAUCUAAUGGUUGCAUUGCUGCCAUAUGUCAUAUCUAAGAUUUACAAAGAAAAACUAAAUGAACAUCCUUUUUUAGUCCUUGAUUAGCUAAAUUAUCAUCAAGUGGACCAGAUUAUCUUUUGGAGCCACUUUAAAAUAUAAAAUAUAUGUUUCAUGGGGCUGUAGGAUAUAUUGUAUAGAUAUGCUAAAAGAUGAAACUUGAAAGAGUUAAGCGGAUAACAACUCAUAUGGUGAAAAAUGUUGGUCAUCAUCUCCUUCUCUUUCCAAUAUUAUUCCCGUUACUUGUGUACAUGACUUUGCAGGGAACACCGAGUUAUCCUCUGUUAGCUUGGAGGAUGGUGCUAUGGGCGACCACGUCGGCAAUGGCAACAGGGAAGGCAACAAUGAUGGUGAGAACAUGGUGGUAGCCUAAGGUGACUUAGAAACUUAUGAAGGUGUAGAUGAUGCUCCAGAUCAUGAACCAGUGGGCUUAGAAACAUGAGUCUUAUUGUUUUGGGUGGCGGUGGCAUGUAUGCGUACAACUGACAUGUUACUGCUGUUGAGCAAAUAAAACAACAGCAAUUAAAAUUUUCAGAUGUCA